ACACGACUACAUUAGAUACCCGUGUAGUCCCAGCCCUAAACGAUGCGCGUUAGGUGUAUCGGUGACCACGAGUCACCGAGGUGCCGAAGGGAAACCGUGAAACGUGCCGCCUGGGAAGUACGGUCGCAAGGCUGAGACUUAAAGGAAUUGGCGGGGGAGCACCACAACGGGUGGAGCCUGCGGUUUAAUUGGACUCAACGCCGGGAAGCUCACCGGAUAAGACAGCGGAAUGAUUGCCGGGCUGAAGACCCUGCAUGACCAGCUG
RNAcentral lists this ribosomal RNA (265 nucleotides) under uncultured archaeon. RNAcentral describes it as "partial 16S ribosomal RNA". It matches the Rfam family "Archaeal small subunit ribosomal RNA", at positions 719 to 982 of the family's 1478-position model. The record is from RNAcentral.